RNAcentral lists this ribosomal RNA (301 nucleotides) under uncultured bacterium. RNAcentral's name for it is "partial 16S ribosomal RNA". It matches the Rfam family "Bacterial small subunit ribosomal RNA", at positions 509 to 809 of the family's 1533-position model. The record is from RNAcentral.
CAGUCGCCGCGGUAAAACGUAGGUGGCAAGCGUUGUCCGGAAUUAUUGGGCGUAAAGCGCGCGCAGGCGGAUAGGUCAGUCUGUCUUAAAAGUUCGGGGCUUAACCCCGUGAUGGGAUGGAAACUGCCAAUCUAGAGUAUCGGAGAGGAAAGUGGAAUUCCUAGUGUAGCGGUGAAAUGCGUAGAUAUUAGGAAGAACACCAGUGGCGAAGGCGACUUUCUGGACGAAAACUGACGCUGAGGCGCGAAAGCCAGGGGAGCGAACGGGAUUAGAUACCCGUGUAGUCCCUGUCUCUUAUACA